AACCUCCGCAAUGUGAGAAAUCGCGACGGGGGGAUCCCAAGUGCCAUUCUAACGGGAUGGCUUUUCAUUAGUGUAAAGAGCUUUUGGAAUAAGGGCUGGGCAAGACCGGUGCCAGCCGCCGCGGUAACACCGGCAGCUCUAGUGGUAGCAGUUUUUAUUGGGCCUAAAGCGUCCGUAGCCGGUUUAAUAAGUCUCUGGUGAAAUCCUGUAGCUUAACUGUGGGAAUUGCUGGAGAUACUAUUAGACUUGAGACCGGGAGAGGUUAGAGGUACUCCCAGGGUAGAGGUGAAAUUCUGUAAUCCUGGGAGGACCGCCUGUUGCGAAGGCGUCUAACUGGAACGGUUCUGACGGUGAGGGACGAAAGUUAGGGGCGCGAACCGGAUUAGAUACCCGGGUAGUCCUAACCGUAAACGAUGCGGACUUGGUGUUGGGGUGGCUUUGAGCUGCUCCAGUGCCGAAGGGAAGCUGUUAAGUCCGCCGCCUGGGAAGUACGGUCGCAAGACUGAAACUUAAAGGAAUU
RNAcentral lists this ribosomal RNA (520 nucleotides) under uncultured bacterium. Its description in RNAcentral is "bacterial SSU rRNA". It matches the Rfam family "Archaeal small subunit ribosomal RNA", at positions 345 to 866 of the family's 1478-position model. The record is from RNAcentral.